This 279-nucleotide ribosomal RNA is filed under the name uncultured bacterium. Its description in RNAcentral is "partial 16S ribosomal RNA". It matches the Rfam family "Bacterial small subunit ribosomal RNA", at positions 75 to 353 of the family's 1533-position model. The record is from RNAcentral.
CUUGCUUUCUUUGCUGGCGACCGGCGCACGGGUGAGUAACACGUAUCCAACCUGCCCUUUACUCGGGGAUAGCCUUUCGAAAGAAAGAUUAAUACCCGAUGGCAUAGUUCUUCCGCAUGGUAGAACUAUUAAAGAAUUUCGGUCAUCGAUGGGGAUGCGUUCCAUUAGGUUGUUGGCGGGGUAACGGCCCACCAAGCCUUCGAUGGAUAGGGGUUCUGAGAGGAAGGUCCCCCACAUUGGAACUGAGACACGGUCCAAACUCCUACGGGAGGCAGCAUG